RNAcentral lists this ribosomal RNA (655 nucleotides) under uncultured fungus. RNAcentral's name for it is "eukaryotic LSU rRNA". It matches the Rfam family "Eukaryotic large subunit ribosomal RNA", at positions 24 to 664 of the family's 3401-position model. Lineage: Eukaryota; Fungi. The record is from RNAcentral.
CCCGCUGAACUUAAGCAUAUCAAUAAGCGGAGGAAAAGAAACUAACAAGGAUUCCCCUAGUAACGGCGAGUGAAGCGGGAAGAGCUCAAAUUUAAAAUCUGGUUUGCUUGCAAAUCCGAGUUGUAGUCUGAAGAAACGUUUUCCAUGAAAGCUGAGGCACAAGUCCUUUGGAACAGGGCAUCAUAGAGGGUGAGAAUCCCGUCCAUGGCCUCAAGUCUUUUAUUUUGUGAUACGUUUUCUAAGAGUCAGGUUGUUUGGGAAUGCAGCCUAAAAUGGGUGGUAAAUUUCAUCUAAAGCUAAAUAUUGGCGAGAGACCGAUAGCGAACAAGUACCGUGAGGGAAAGAUGAAAAGAACUUUGGAAAGAGAGUUAAACAGUACGUGAAAUUGUUGAAAGGGAAACGCUUGAAGUCAGUCGCGUUGCCCAGAAAUCAACCUUGCUUUUGCUUGGUGUACUUUCUGGUUAACGGGUCAGCAUCAAUUUUGACCGGUGGAUAAAGGUCAGGGGAAUGUGGCAUCUUCGGAUGUGUUAUAGCCCUUGGUUGCAUACAUCGAUCGGGAUUGAGGAACUCAGCAUGCCGCAAGGCCGGGUUUUUAACCACGUACAUGCUUAGGAUGCUGGCAUAAUGGCUUUAAUCGACCCGUCUUGAAACACGG